This 314-nucleotide ribosomal RNA is filed under the name uncultured Bacillota bacterium. RNAcentral's name for it is "bacterial SSU rRNA". It matches the Rfam family "Bacterial small subunit ribosomal RNA", at positions 28 to 351 of the family's 1533-position model. The record is from RNAcentral. Lineage: Bacteria; Bacillati; Bacillota.
GAUGAACGCUGGCGGCGUGCCUAACACAUGCAAGUCGAGCGAUUUACUUCGGUAAAGAGCGGCGGACGGGUGAGUAACGCGUGGGUAACCUGCCCUGUACACACGGAUAACAUACCGAAAGGUAUGCUAAUACGAGAUAAUAUACUUUUAUCGCAUGGUAGAAGUAUCAAAGCUUUUGCGGUGCAGGAUGGACCCGCGUCUGAUUAGCUAGUUGGUAAGGUAACGGCUUACCAAGGCGACGAUCAGUAGCCGACCUGAGAGGGUGAUCGGCCACAUUGGAACUGAGACACGGUCCAAACUCCUACGGGUGGCUG